Molecule: ribosomal RNA, 500 nt
Filed under: uncultured bacterium
Lineage: Bacteria
Description: partial 16S ribosomal RNA
Rfam family: Bacterial small subunit ribosomal RNA
Source: RNAcentral
GACGAACGCUGGCGGCGUGCUUAACACAUGCAAGUCGAACGGGCCUGUCUUCUUUUUUGGGGGGUGGGUUGAGUGGCGAACGGGUGAGUAUCACGUGAGUAACCUGCCCUUCGGUCCUGGAUAACCGCUUGAAAGGGCGGCUAAUACGGGGUGGUCCGGUUGGUCCGCAUGGGCUGGUCGGGAUAGAUUCACUGUUUUUGGUGUUUCGGCGGGGGAUGGGCUCGCGGCCUAUCAGCUUGUUGGUGGGGUGAUGGCCUACCAAGGCGGUGACGGGUAGCCGGCCUGAGAGGGUGGGCGGCCACACGGGGACUGAGAUACGGCCCAGACUCCUGCGGGAGGCAGCAGUGGGGGGUAUUGCACAAUGGGCGGAAGCCUGAUGCAGCGACGUCGCGUGAGGGAGGGAGGCCUUCGGGUUGUGAACCUCUGUUUCCGGUGGUGAAGGCCCUGUCCGUGUGGUGGGGUUGACGGUAGCCGGGGAUGAAGCGCCGGCUAACUACGUG